GACGAACGCUGGCGGCGUGCUUAACACAUGCAAGUCGAGCGGUAAGGCCCUUUCGGGGGUACGACGAGCGGCGAACGGGUAGAGUAACACGUGGGUGGACCUGCCCUCCAGCUCUGGGAUAAAGCCUGGGAAACCGGGUCUAAUACCGGAUAUGACUCCAUGACGCAUGUUGUGGGGUGGAAAGCCUUGUGCGGCUGAGGAUGGGCCCGCGGCCUAUCAGCUUGUUGGUGGGGUGAUGGCCUACCAA
This 247-nucleotide ribosomal RNA is filed under the name uncultured bacterium. RNAcentral's name for it is "partial 16S ribosomal RNA". It matches the Rfam family "Bacterial small subunit ribosomal RNA", at positions 28 to 271 of the family's 1533-position model. The record is from RNAcentral.